RNAcentral lists this ribosomal RNA (253 nucleotides) under uncultured bacterium. RNAcentral's name for it is "partial 16S ribosomal RNA". It matches the Rfam family "Bacterial small subunit ribosomal RNA", at positions 524 to 776 of the family's 1533-position model. The record is from RNAcentral.
GACAGAGGGUGCAAACGUUGCUCGGAUUUACUGGGCGUAAAGCGCGUGUAGGCGGGCGACUAAGUCGGAUGUGAAAUCCCUGGGCUCAACCUAGGAACUGCAUUCGAAACUGGUCACCUAGAGUGAUGGAGAGGAAAGCGGAAUUCCCGGUGUAGUGGUGGAAUGCGUAGAUAUCAGGAGGAACACCGAUGGCGAAGGCAGGUCUCUGGGCCAUAACUGACGCUGAGAAGCGAAAGCAUGGGGAGCGAACAGG